Molecule: ribosomal RNA, 495 nt
Filed under: uncultured bacterium
Lineage: Bacteria
Description: partial 16S ribosomal RNA
Rfam family: Bacterial small subunit ribosomal RNA
Source: RNAcentral
GACGAACGCUGGCGGCGUGCCUAAUACAUGCAAGUAGAACGCUGAAGGAGGAGCUUGCUUCUCUGGAUGAGUUGCGAACGGGUGAGUAACGCGUAGGUAACCUGCCUGGUAGCGGGGGAUAACUAUUGGAAACGAUAGCUAAUACCGCAUAACAGUAGAUACCGCAUGAUAUCUACUUGAAAGGUGCAAUUGCAUCACUACCAGAUGGACCUGCGUUGUAUUAGCUAGUUGGUGAGGUAACGGCUCACCAAGGCGACGAUACAUAGCCGACCUGAGAGGGUGAUCGGCCACACUGGGACUGAGACACGGCCCAGACUCCUACGGGAGGCAGCAGUAGGGAAUCUUCGGCAAUGGACGGAAGUCUGACCGAGCAACGCCGCGUGAGUGAAGAAGGUUUUCGGAUCGUAAAGCUCUGUUGUAAGAGAAGAACGAGUGUGAGAGUGGAAAGUUCACACUGUGACGGUAUCUUACCAGAAAGGGACGGCUAACUACGUG